AGAUUGGUCGGGACGCUUGUCUUCCCACAGGAGUGGAUGCGGCGAGCCAAGCUGGCAGAACGCAUCACCGAAGAGGUGGUCACGGUGCCCACACCCUGAACCUUCCCCUCCAGGAAAUAGGUACUCCGGUGCUGUCCAUGCGACUGGCCACAUUCACCGUGUUCCCCCAGAUGUCGUACUGAGGUCGGCGCGCCCCAAUCACCCCUGCGACCACUGGACCAACAUUGAUUCCUGUGUAAAUACACGUUGCAGUUUCUGAUUUUGAACGCCCUCUGGCAAAAUCUUCAAAACAAUCAAUGCAGCAUUCUUGGCAACAGCUAUAAGUUUCUCCAGCCUCCGACCAGACCUGCUGCACCGUCACACGCUCGCUGCUCGAGGUCAAAACCUCCUCCCUCAACUCAUUAAACACAUCAUCUCCGGCAGACAAAGCGCUGCAGCUCAUAAAAACGAGCCACGCAACACAAACAUGAUUAUUCCUGUGGUAACUAGAACUUGUCUAGCAUCUAAUAUCGUCUAAUUCAAACUCCCUCACACCCUCGUACAUAAUUUCCUCUCCACUGGCACAUAUUUUAGGAAAGUUAUUCCCCCAAUUAUGAUAAUCUCCCGUUUCCCUCAGUGGGGGGCAUUACUGUAGCUAUUUUAGUGAGUUUGAUUUGAAUUUAAUCACAUAGAGGAGGACUACAGGCCGCACGGCAACUCAAAGGUUAAGUUUAGAUGGGCCCCUAUGGAGCUGCAGGACGUGGGCAGGGGAUGUGCUGACGUCCGGCCAAAAAAGGGGGUCAUGCAGAAGAGAUGCUCGCAACAUUUUGUUGAAGGAUAAACUGUUGUUUCUUUGGAGUGAAUGAACAUCAUGAAACCUCCUAUUUAUGAUUUUCUCUUUUAUUUCGGCAUUUCUGUUCUUCCCGGACAUCACUCCUCACAUUGUCUGCAUCAUAAUUAUUUUACUGAUGCAAUAAAAGUCUUUAAAAGCUUCCUACAUCAAAUAUCAACUGGGCAAUAUUAUACUUAUCUAUCUUAAAUGGUGGAAUGAAAUAACAUACAACACAGACGUGAUGGAAAUUAAUUAAAAAACAAAGUUAAAGUGCUGAAAAUGCGUCUUUUAUUCAAGACAAUAAUAUAAUCUAAGAAUAUGAAAUGAUUAUGCAUCUAAAAGCCUUUAAAUUAUGUAUAAUUAUGGAUGUUUAACAGUGGAGGGCCAUAACUCAUCCCUGUGUUCACCUUAUUAAUCAUAUAAAUAAUGGAAUUGCUAUUUAUUUGAUACAUUUAGAAAGAAAAUUAAUACGUGUAGGUUUGAAAAUGUAAAAUAAUGAAAGAUUAUGUCAG
Long non-coding RNA from Paralichthys olivaceus (Japanese flounder), 1323 nucleotides. RefSeq lists it as uncharacterized. The record is from RefSeq and is a predicted model, not a curated record. NCBI's taxonomy places the organism in Eukaryota, Metazoa, Chordata, Actinopteri, Pleuronectiformes, Paralichthyidae.